RNAcentral lists this ribosomal RNA (446 nucleotides) under uncultured bacterium. Its description in RNAcentral is "partial 16S ribosomal RNA". It matches the Rfam family "Bacterial small subunit ribosomal RNA", at positions 338 to 795 of the family's 1533-position model. The record is from RNAcentral.
CCUACGGGGUGCAGCAGUCGAGAAUCAUUCACAAUGGGGGAAACCCUGAUGGUGCGACGCCGCGUGGGGGAAUGAAGGUCUUCGGAUUGUAAACCCCUGUCAUGUGGGAGCAAAUUAAAAAGAUAGUACCACACGAGGAAGAGACGGCUAACUCUGUGCCAGCAGCCGCGGUAAUACAGAGGUCUCAAGCGUUGUUCGGAAUCACUGGGCGUAAAGCGGGCGUAGGCUGUUUCGUAAGUCGUGUGUGAAAGGCGCGGGCUCAACCCGCGGACGGCACAUGAUACUGCGAGACUAGGGUAAGGGAGGGGGAACCGGAAUUCUCGGUGUAGCAGUGAAAUGCGUAGAUAUCGAGAGGAACACUCGUGGCGAAGGCGGGUUCCUGGACAUUAACUGACGCUGAGGCACGAAGGCCAGGGGAGCGAAAGGGAUUAGAUACCCUGGUAGUC